Molecule: long non-coding RNA, 383 nt
Organism: Equus caballus (horse)
Lineage: Eukaryota; Metazoa; Chordata; Mammalia; Perissodactyla; Equidae
Source: RefSeq, a predicted model, not a curated record
AGCAGAAAUAGUAGCCAAAUUGGCUGCACUAUGUGUAAAAGAUGCAUUAUCCAUGAUAGAAGCUACGGGAGGUCAGAAACUGAUUAUCAGUUAAAUGGAACAAAAAAAAAAGAGAGGUCCUGUAAGAUGUUCUCCAUUCCUCCUUUGCUUAUUACCAGGCGAUGACUAAUAAUCACUCUAUGAAAAGUACCAUGGGGAAUAAGUUAUGACUUGUUCACUCAACAAGAUGAAAGACCCUCCCUCCUGAAAAACAGAUGCUCUUCAUGAGGGAGCAAGAGUACCGCGAAAGUCAACUCAGGGCGCUCUGGUUUCUUCUGUAACUCUCACUACCUCACCCUCACCACCACUGUACUAUUUAGAAAUUUUGAAAGAAAUACCAGACA